AGGGAUCAGAUAGUGAGGGUCCCCGUUUAAGAACGCGGAUUCUUUUGUCUGCGUAUUUUGAGGGUUUUUUUUUUUUUUUUUCGUUUCUUUUUUCUUCCCACUAGUUACUCCUUAUCGAAGCAGGCACUUGGAGUACACAGAAGGUAGCUGGUGUUUCAGGAAGGGACCAAAUAAGGGACCCAGGCUCGCUUGUCCCCCAAGGCUGGAAGGACUGGACGCCCAUUGGAAUCCGAGGGUGUCGAUCAUCUCACCUCUGCGAAUGGGCUGAGAGCUCGUGGCCCGCCUCAGAAACAGGAACUGCAAAAUACUCUGUAGUUGAAAAACUGUCUGGUGGGAUUAUUUUCAGCGUAGAGUGGCUAAAUUAGGACAUGCUGCAUUAGCAGAGGGAGAGUUAUAGCAGGCCUCCAGAAUUUCCCUACUACGACCAAUGGGCACCAUACCCCGGAGGACUGGCUACUUCUCAAAUUAAAAUGUUCCCGCUAUUUUAUCAAGGACAAUGACGAUUUCUUCGCUCUCCUUAGAACCUUAAAAAUUCGAAAAGGCUGUAUUUAAACAGUUGAGGUCACAAGCUAAGAAAACAAGCAUUCAAAUUCACCAAAAGCUCCAAGUUGGUCAGGAGCAAAUGAUCCAAACAGACUGAUGCAGAAGACUACCAAAAAGGCAGGAAGAGGUCAGGGCCUGCACAUGAACCUGGAAGAAUGGAGCUCAUCUGUGGACAAGGAAAUAGCUGUCUCUCACUCUUGAUAAAGAAGAUGACAGUUGUGUGUGUGCACGCACCAAAUUGCAGGAGAG
Marmota flaviventris (yellow-bellied marmot) is the source of this 792-nucleotide non-coding RNA. The record is from RefSeq and is a predicted model, not a curated record. Lineage: Eukaryota; Metazoa; Chordata; Mammalia; Rodentia; Sciuridae.